Molecule: long non-coding RNA, 406 nt
Filed under: Daucus carota (carrot)
Lineage: Eukaryota; Viridiplantae; Streptophyta; Magnoliopsida; Apiales; Apiaceae
Description: long non-coding RNA (DCAR_LNC001994)
Source: RNAcentral
UUUGAAGUAAAAGUAAGCUAUGGAUUAAACAUGAUGUUGUAAAUCAACAGUUCAGUAGAAAAGAGUGAAAGUAUACCAUGAUAAAACAGUUCUGUAUCAAUAUAUGAAUUUAAAGCUGUAGAGAUAAAAAUGAAAUCAAUCAUCUUUUUAACACAAGAUAAUCUCUUUUUCAAACUAUUCAUUGUUUAAUUGGGUUUUUGAAUAAGACACCAUGCUAUAGCCGAUGAUCAGUCGCACUAUAGUCCAUAGAACCUAGUCUUUUUCAAGCUAGGCCACAUAAAUAUUACAAAAUCCGGUAUUCCGGGCUAAAGGAGCCACCUUUCACGCUGGGCCGGUGUCUGGGCCUCUUACGCAAACCUACCCAAUAUAGGUCUCAAAACUACAGCUUUAACAUUUUCAAGAAAAG